CCGGGAGCGUGUGUGGUGCGCGCCUGCCUUGAGGCCAGGCCUCAGAGAAGGGUGUCCCAGAUGUAGGCAAAGCGUCCUCCAUGUGUUCCUGGAGGACCGUCCCAAGUCCUUCUCCAUUCUCCCAACCUCUUGGGCCUGUUUCUUUUGCAGACAGUGGAAUACUAUGCAGCAACUAAAGGAACCACCUAGCAUGAUGUGUAUCAGUAUGGAUACAUUGCAAAAACAAAGCUAAAAACAAGCUACCAGGCAUAUGAAGCACAGGAUGGUAGAGGACAAACUAUACUACAAGGCUAUAGUAACCAAAGCAUGAUACUCAUAAAAAAACAGGCACAUAUACCAAUGGAUCAGAGUAGAGAACUGAGAAGUCUGCACAUGUACAACUAUCUGAUCUUCAACAAACCUGACAGAAAGAAGCAACGGGGAAAGGAUUCCCUGUAUAGUAAGUGGUACUGGGAGAGCUGGCUAGCCAAAUGCAGAAAAUUGAAACUGGGCCCCUUCCUUACACUUUAUACAAAAAUUAAGACGGAGUGAAGGCUUAAAUGUAAAACUCAAAACUAUAAAAACCCUAGAAGAAAAUCUAGGCAAUACCAUUCAGGACAUAGACAUGGGCAAAGAUUGUAUGAUGAAAUCACCAAAAGAAAUUGCAACAAAAGCAAAAAUUGACAAAUGGGAUCUAAUUAAAGAGCUUCUGCACAGCAAAAGAAACUAUCAUCAGAGCGAACAGACAACCUACAGAAUGGGAGAAAACUUUUGCAAUCUAUCCAUCUGACAAAGGUCUAAUAUCCAGAAUCUACAAGGAACUUAAGCAAAUUUACAAGAAAAAACAUUAAAAAGUGUACAAAAUUCAUGAACAGACACUUCUCAAAAGAAGACAUCCAUGUGGCCAACAAAUAUAAAAAGCUCAACAUCACUGAUAAUCAGAGAAAUGCAAAUCAAAAUCACAAUGACAUACCAUCUCACGCCAGUCAGAAUGGCGAUUUUUUUUUUUUUUUUGAGAUGGAGUUUUGCUCUUGUUGCCCAGGCUGGAGUGCAGUGGUGCAAUCUCAGCUCACUGCAACCUCUGCCUCCCAGGUUCAAGCAAUUCUCCUGCCUCAGCCUCCCGAGUAGCUGGGAUUACAGGCAUGCACAACCACGCCCGGCUAAUUUUGUAUUUUUUAGUAGAGACGGGGUUUCUCCAUGUUGGUCAGGCUGGUCUCGAACUCCCGACCUCAGGUGAUCUGCCCACCUCUCAGGUUCCCAAAGUGCUGGGAUUACAGGCAUGAGCCACCGGGCCCUGCCUACAACCAUGAUUAUUAAAAAGUCAAGAAACAGUUGCUGGCGAGGUUGUGGAGAAACAGGAACACUUUUACACUAUUGGAGGGAAUGUAAAUUAGUUCAACCAUUGUGGAACACGGUGUGGCAAUUCCUCAGAGAUUUAGAACUGGGAAUACUGUUUGACCCAGCAAUCCCAUUACUGGGUAUAUACCCAAAGGAAUAUAAACCAUUCUAUUAUAAAGAUACAUGCACAUGUACAUUCAUUGCAGCACUAUUCACAAUAGCAAAGACAUGGAAUCAACCCAGUUGCCCGUCAGCGAUAGACUGGAUAAAGGAAAUCUGGUACAUAUAUGCCAUGGAAUACUAUGCAGCCAUGCAAAGGAACAAGAUCGUGUCCUUUGCGGGACAUGGAUGAAGCUGGAAGCCGUUAUCCUCAGCAAACUAACACAGGAACAGAAAACCAAACACCACAUGUUCUUACUUAUAUGUGGGAGCUGAACAGUGAGAAUACAUGGACACAGGGAGGGAAACAACACACACUGGGGCCUCUUAGCACAGGGUGGGGAGUGUGGAGAGAGCCUCAGGAGAAAUAGCUAAUGCAAGCCAGGCUUAAUACCUAGGUGAUGGGUUGAUAGGUGCAGCAAACCACCAUAACACACGUUUACCUGUGUGACCUGCACAUUCUGCACAUGUGUCCUGGAACUUAUAAAAUAAAAUUUAAAAAUAUUUGAAAACCAAUAAAAAUCAAGAUCAUUAUUUUAUUUAGCUAUUUAUUUUUAGAGAUGGGGGGGGGCCUCACUAUGUUGCCCAGGCUGGACUCGAACUACUGAACCCAAGUGAUCCUCCUGCCUCAGCCUCCUGAGUAGCUGGGACUACACAUCUACCCAGCAAGAUCAUUAUAAUCACACCUGUACCCUCUGGUCACCAAAGGAUGUGAAUUUUAAGUGGAGGUAGAGGGAGAAUAGGAAAACUAGAUUUCACAGUGUUCCCUACUGAAACAGUAGUGAGGCCAUUCUGGGUGGCCUCUGCAUCUGCUUUUGUUUGUUUGCCUCUGUCUUGAUUCCCUGUUGUCUGUCAUUGGAAGAAAAUCCGAGUCUGGACUUGGGUUGCUUCACAUGGACGUUAUUUUAAUGAUAAAUGAUAAAAGACAAGUCCUGAGUUUCCAUGGUGGCCCUGAAUAGAUUCUUCUAUGAGACACUGCGUUUCUUACGUAUAUUCUGAGACACAGGCCAGGUUCUUGUAUGAGAUGCCAUGUUUCUUAGGUAUAUUCUGAGACAUGGACCAGACCAUGUAGCAUGAACCUGAUAUUCUAGGAAAUCUCCGCAUGGGUCCUGGCGGUUUAGGACUCCCUAUGCUGCAUCCUGCAUCUUCAAUCUUAACGUCACCUUUUUUUUUUUUAACACAGAAUGUUUCUUUUUUGAUUUUCCAGUGAUUUACAAACCUACCUCCCA
RNAcentral lists this long non-coding RNA (2705 nucleotides) under Homo sapiens (human). RNAcentral describes it as "HSALNT0389009". The record is from RNAcentral. Lineage: Eukaryota; Metazoa; Chordata; Mammalia; Primates; Hominidae.